Branchiostoma floridae (Florida lancelet) is the source of this 1775-nucleotide long non-coding RNA. RefSeq lists it as uncharacterized. The transcript has 5 exons. NCBI's taxonomy places the organism in Eukaryota, Metazoa, Chordata, Leptocardii, Amphioxiformes, Branchiostomatidae. The record is from RefSeq and is a predicted model, not a curated record.
GUAUGGUCCGGUUCAGUUCCUGCAGUGCUGUUGUCGUGGGUGGACGUGCCGGAUAUAUUUUUGGCAGUUUGGACAACUUUUCGGUGAAAUUUCAAACUUCUUUUCCACAAGUUACUUCAUGGAAUGCCUGCGGCGACCGUCGGGAUAUUCCAGUGGUGGAUUUAUUCUGUUUUGUGACGUUUCGAGGAGGAAGCGAGGAUUUCUGGACCUAUUUUGGACCGAACCUGACAACAAAAAUAUGGCGAGACUGCAUGUUGGACAGACGGCGUGGUGGGCAGAUUAACUCAUACAAGCAGUGGAAGGACAGUCCUAAGAGUUAGGAUUCUUGCCAGUGUCUGAUGCAGUAGUGAGGAGUCCUGUCCUGAUGACCUGACUUCAAGAUGCUACUUUAGAAGAUGCUGAAGACUCACUACAGUCUGUUGCAGAGGGCUGUCCAACACGGCAAUCGCUGCUGACCCCAGACUCCUGUCCAGACCUGGGGAUGUCAAUGUGGAGUCGAGAGAAAAGUUCCUUCCCAACAAGACGCAUUUAGAACAGCCACCACCAUCUGCAGCUGGGGCUUUUGUGCGAGGUGUGGACUUCUGAACCGCUCGCGGACACGUCAGCCACUGCCUGGACUCGGAAGGGCAACUGCAGAAGUCAAGGUCGUCAUCCACUGCGAUGGACAAACAUCGUCGUCUCGUAUGAAUGCAGACAGUUUUCAGCAAUUGUACCUGGAUUUGUGGAACAAAGUAACUGAAUAUUUUUUGGUGUGGAUUGACUGUUGACUUCGUUAUUGCAGUAAUUUUGGAUGAUAGAUGAAACAGUUUAUUCUCUAUUCUCUUCUGGCUAAGAUCGGAUCCUUAAUAUUUUGUAACAUUCGACUGGCACUUAAAUGAUUGGUAUAGAGAUUGCAAUAUUUGAAGAAUUUUUUGUGAAACUGUUAGUAAUAAGCAUUUUGUUGCAAUUUUGGACAUGAUGAUAGAUGUUAUGUGUAAGGAUAGAUUUAGUGGGAUAGUAGGGUUGCUUCCGCAAGUAACCGUGAAACAUUGUUAUUCUCUAGAAUGGCCGGGAAGCAAUGAUUACCACCAGAACAGCAGGUCGAGCACCCCUGUAGUGAAUUAGCUUUGGAACUCGUCGGCCCUACUGUACUCGGGGGACCGACGGAGAUAGUUAACCUAAGAGGUUGUAUGUCAAGGGAACAUGUGUUAUAGAGGUCACGGUACCUGUCACUUGUACUUAAGAAGCUGCGGCGGUAGCACUUGGGAAAGCCCCUAGCGUUCCUUGUUUGUUUUGGAUAUCAACUACUUGUCGAACACUGCUCAUGCUCAAAAGACGUUGACUGAUAUUAUUGAUUAUUGCGAGGACCAAUUUGGGGAAGUCCCGUAUCCCACAUUUACCGGUUUCAAAGGACACGAACCCAUCACCAAUUAUCCAAAGGUGGGGGCCAAAUUCACUAUUAAUGGGAUUUUUAUUAGAGGAAAAGCGAGUUAACCACGAUUUCUGCUUCGAAAUGUCCGUCAAAACUGACAGUAAGAACUCAAAAUGAUAAAUGAGAAAUACCAAAACCGAUUUAUGUUGACCAAUGGCCGAUUGCAUUUUAUAUCGUUUCGGACCAAAUUUGGGUGGAGGCGGACACCAAAAUCUAGGAAAUAAAAGUUGGGAAACACUUAGCAAGAACAAGAGUUUUUGUGCCUAAGGGCCACCCACUGCCUCGCCUGAAGAAUCUGUCAGCGACUUGAGCGGUUCUGGAACUUUGUAGGAGUUCCAUCCUGCUUUCCCUGGAGCUACCAUAC